UAACAUUUCUUACCCUAUGUGACAUUCCCCGCUCUGCUUUUUUGUUGCCGGUGCCAGCUGCCGGAAAGCUCUUUGGAUGCACACGGCAAAUGCUCUUGGGCAGACCCAGCAAGUAGCAAGGAUAUCCCUGGUGAGAGGAUUACAGAGGCAGGAUGUCACUCCCUAUCCCAGACCAAUGCAGUGAGGACCCGUAUUUUAUUUUAUUUUUUAAGGUUUAUUUAUUUUGAAAAAGAGAGAGCGAGAAAAACAGAGUGCAAGCAGGGGGGCGGCAGCGAGGGAGAGAGAGAAUCCCAAGCAGGCUCCGCGCUGUCCCGUCGGCGGGGAGCCUCACUUAGGCUCGACCUCACGGACCGUGAGAUCGCGACCUGAGCCAACAUCAAGAGUCGGACGCUCAACCGCCUGAGCCACCCAGACGCCCCGAGAACCUGUAUUUUAACAAGAUCCCUAGAUGAUUCAUAUGUGUGUUAAUGUUUGAUAGACCUGUAGGCCGGGUUGACCUGUAACUGUGUCUUCCAGCAAAAGUCCUAGAGAGCAGCACAGGACAGUAUUACAGAGUGAGGCAGGAGAGCCAAGAAGUUGGAUUAUAAAAUCAGAAUUCCCAGAGGUCUCCGACGGGCUGAAAUGAUAGGCCAGAACUCACGACGUGGAAAUGGGUGGAAGCAAACGGCAUAACAUCCUGCCCAGGUGCCAAAUGGGAGAGAGCGGGCCUGGAACCAGUUAAUGCAGAAAAGCUUUCGGUGAGCUACGGAUUUAAGCCAACAGUCGCCUAACUGGUGCCAAUGUACAAGAUGCUGUCAAAGUCCAGGGGAAGAUAUACGUCACAAGCCGAGUCAGGAAAG
This is a long non-coding RNA of Leopardus geoffroyi (Geoffroy's cat), 839 nucleotides long. RefSeq lists it as uncharacterized. NCBI's taxonomy places the organism in Eukaryota, Metazoa, Chordata, Mammalia, Carnivora, Felidae. The transcript is spliced from 4 exons. The record is from RefSeq and is a predicted model, not a curated record.